GAUCAUAGCUCAGGAUGAACGCUAGCUACAGGCUUAACACAUGCAAGUCGAGGGGCAGCAUUCCAGUUUGCUUGCAAACUGGAGAUGGCGACCGGCGCACGGGUGAGUAACACGUAUCCAACCUGCCGAUGACUCGGGGAUAGCCUUUCGAAAGAAAGAUUAAUACCCGAUGGCAUAAUAGAACCGCAUGGUUUGAUUAUUAAAGAAUUUCGGUUAUCGAUGGGGAUGCGUUCCA
RNAcentral lists this ribosomal RNA (235 nucleotides) under uncultured bacterium. Its description in RNAcentral is "partial 16S ribosomal RNA". It matches the Rfam family "Bacterial small subunit ribosomal RNA", at positions 15 to 240 of the family's 1533-position model. The record is from RNAcentral.